Molecule: ribosomal RNA, 253 nt
Filed under: uncultured prokaryote
Description: partial 16S ribosomal RNA
Rfam family: Bacterial small subunit ribosomal RNA
Source: RNAcentral
ACGUAGGUGGCAAGCGUUAUCCGGAAUUAUUGGGCGUAAAGCGCGCGCAGGUGGUUUCUUAAGUCUGAUGUGAAAGCCCACGGCUCAACCGUGGAGGGUCAUUGGAAACUGGGAGACUUGAGUGCAGAAGAGGAAAGUGGAAUUCCAUGUGUAGCGGUGAAAUGCGUAGAGAUAUGGAGGAACACCAGUGGCGAAGGCGACUUUCUGGUCUGUAACUGACACUGAGGCGCGAAAGCGUGGGGAGCAAACAGGA